Molecule: ribosomal RNA, 253 nt
Filed under: uncultured bacterium
Lineage: Bacteria
Description: partial 16S ribosomal RNA
Rfam family: Bacterial small subunit ribosomal RNA
Source: RNAcentral
UACGAAGGGUGCAAGCGUUACUCGGAAUCACUGGGCGUAAAGCGUGCGUAGGCGGUUGGUUAAGUCUGCUGUGAAAGCCCUGGGCUCAACCUGGGAACUGCAGUGGAUACCGGCCAGCUAGAGUGUGAUAGAGGAUGGUGGAAUUCCCGGUGUAGCGGUGAAAUGCGUAGAGAUCGGGAGGAACACCAGUGGCGAAGGCGGCCAUCUGGAUCAACACUGACGCUGAGGCACGAAAGCGUGGGGAGCAAACAGG